AAGUAGCACCUGGAGGCCUAGCCGCAGCCUGGGCUGCAGUUUCCUGAGGCCUCAGGAGGACUCACUCCUGGUCUAGAAUCUGACCAUUAGCCCUGGAGCCCGAGCAGCCUGUACUGUGAGAUUACGUAGAGCGACCUGGCGCAGCCACAGCCUCAGGACUUGGUUCAAGAGUCAGCACCCAUUCAUUUAUUUAUAGUACAAAAUUCGACCAUCCUAUAUUCAGUCCUCGAAGAGCAGGGAAUCUGAAUCAUGCUUAAAGUUGAAGCCUCUUCUGGGAUAUUGCUAAGGAAAAGUCCACAAUCCAGGAUUGCUAAUUAAAAUGAAUUCUACUUAUUGUGCAUAAAUUAAGUUCUAAUGAGGUUCCCCACCGCAUAUGAACGACGUCAUUCUGAACCACUGUGGUGCAAGAGAAUGAUAGAAGAAUUGACUCCCUUAAGUUAACUAACAGCUGCAUGGUUCCGUUUAGGAAGGGAAAGUGGG
This 480-nucleotide long non-coding RNA is filed under the name Canis lupus dingo (dingo). RNAcentral describes it as "lncRNA (ENSCAFG00020005618.1)". Lineage: Eukaryota; Metazoa; Chordata; Mammalia; Carnivora; Canidae. The record is from RNAcentral.